This 558-nucleotide ribosomal RNA is filed under the name uncultured archaeon. Its description in RNAcentral is "bacterial SSU rRNA". It matches the Rfam family "Archaeal small subunit ribosomal RNA", at positions 74 to 637 of the family's 1478-position model. The record is from RNAcentral.
CGCGGGAAUUCGAUUCUCAGUAACACGUGGAUAACCUGCCCUAAGGUGGAGGAUAACCCCGGGAAACUGGGGAUAAUACUCCAUAGACCAGAGUGACUGGAAUGUUUUCUGGUCGAAAGUUCCGGCGCCUUAGGAUGGAUCUGCGGCCGAUUAGGUAGUUGUUGGGGUAACGGCCCAACAAGCCAGUCAUCGGUACGGGUUGUGGGAGCAAGAGCCCGGAGAUGGAAUCUGAGACACGAUUCCAGGCCCUACGGGGCGCAGCAGGCGCGAAAACUUUACAAUGCAGGAAACUGUGAUAAGGGAACCCCGAGUGCUCGUACACGCGAGCUGUCCAGGUGUGUAAAAAGCAUCUGAAGAAAGGGCCGGGCAAGACCGGUGCCAGCCGCCGCGGUAAUACCGGCGGCUCGAGUGGUGGCCACUAUUAUUGGGCUUAAAGCGUUCGUAGCUGGACUCUUAAGUCUCCUGGGAAAUCCGCCGGCUCAACCGGCGGGCGUCCAGGAGAUACUGGGAGUCUUGGAACCGGAAGAGGUAAGAGGUACUUCGGGGGUAGGAGUGAAA